This 1029-nucleotide long non-coding RNA is filed under the name Equus caballus (horse). RNAcentral describes it as "lncRNA (ENSECAG00000059381.1)". Lineage: Eukaryota; Metazoa; Chordata; Mammalia; Perissodactyla; Equidae. The record is from RNAcentral.
UGUGCAAAGUGCUUCGUGGGUAUUGGGUACUCAGCCCGACGCGGGCCUACAGUCUCUUGUCUAGAUCUGCUAACAACCCAGAGUUAGGUAUCAUUAUUUCCACAUUGCAGAUGAGGAAACUGAGGCUCAGAAGGUUACGUGCCUUGUCCAAGGUCAGCAGCUGAGAGCCGAGGGGAUGAACUGUGGCGUUUAGCUCAGCACUGGAGCCCGGGGAGCUUCGUGCUGGGAGAACCGCGGCAGCAGGCACGCUUCUCAGCUCUGGUCUCUGCACAGACUCUUCAGAAAAGUCAGUGCGCCCAGGCCUGUGCGGGGCGGGCGGGGCGGUGGAACUCCUGCUGCUCCUAGCUGUGUCUUCGGCUCUGCCGCUUAUCAGCUCUGGGGCCUCUGCAAGCCUCAGUUUACUCGUUUGUAAAAUGGGCUUGUGUUCCAACCUCAUAGGGUCGUGUAGAAAUGAGGUCACCCAGGCAGCGUCUGGCACAUAGUGGGUGCCCACCAACAGGCCAUUGUUCCUCUUCUAGGCACUUUCCCGAUGUCUUAUCCUAACACAACUUCCUAAAUGCAAACUGGUAUCUUGGAUUAGACCCUGGAACAGAAAAAGGAAAAACUGGUGAAAUCAAACAAAGCCUGGGGUUUAGUUAGUGGGAAUGUACCAGUAUUGGUUUGGUAGUCGUGACAAAUGCCCCACGGUAAUGUGAGACAUUAACAUUCGGGGAAACUGGGGAGGGGUAUUCGGGGACUCUCUGAGGUUUAGUACUCACUCUGCAAGUUAUAACUAUAAAGUUAUUCUAAAAGAGUUUCUAACUUGACUUCCCUCGGUCCAGUGUCUUCAAGGCCAAUGUUUUGCAAGAUGAGAAAGUAAUAAUUGCUUACAAACGAAUUCCUAGCAUACUGGUCAUCCUCAACAUUACCCUUCCCACAGUUUAUCAGGGGUUUUGGCCAUGACUAGUGCCUUAAAAUAAAGGAGAAAAUCUAAUGGAGGGACUUGGGCAGUGUGAGAACGUCUUUACUGGGGUGACAUUUGGAUUGAGG